GAUGAACGCUGGCGGCGUGCCUAAUACAUGCAAGUCGAGCGAACAGAUGAGGAGCUUGCUCCUCUGACGUUAGCGGCGGACGGGUGAGUAACACGUGGAUAACCUACCUAUAGGACUGGGAUAACUUCGGGAAACCGGAGCUAAUACCGGAUAAUAUAUUGAACCGCAUGGUUCAAUAGUGAAAGACGGUUUUGCUGUCACUUAUAGAUGGAUCCGCGCCGCAUUAGCUAGUUGGUAAGGUAACGGCUUACCAAGGCAACGAUGCGUAGCCGACCUGAGAGGGUGAUCGGCCACACUGGAACUGAGACACGGUCCAGACUCCUACGGGAGGCAGCAGUAGGGAAUCUUCCGCAAUGGGCGAAAGCCUGACGGAGCAACGCCGCGUGAGUGAUGAAGGUCUUCGGAUCGUAAAACUCUGUUAUUGGGGAAGAACAAAUGUGUAAGUAACUAUGCACGUCUUGACGGUACCUAAUCAGAAGGCCACGGCUAACUACGU
This 496-nucleotide ribosomal RNA is filed under the name uncultured bacterium. Its description in RNAcentral is "partial 16S ribosomal RNA". It matches the Rfam family "Bacterial small subunit ribosomal RNA", at positions 28 to 506 of the family's 1533-position model. The record is from RNAcentral.